AGGGAAUUUUCCGCAAUGGGCGCAAGCCUGACGGAGCAACGCCGCGUGAGUGAGGACGGCCUUCGGGUUGUAAAACUCUGUUCUUGAGGAAGAACCCUUCCGAGGCGAACAGCCUCGGAAGUUGACGGUACUCAAGGAGAAAGCCCCGGCUAACUACGUGCCAGCAGCCGCGGUAAUACGUAGGGGGCGAGCGUUAUCCGGAAUUAUUGGGCGUAAAGCGCGCGCAGGCGGCCGAUUAAGUCAGGUGUGAAAGGCUGCGGCUCAACCGCAGAGCGGCACCUGAAACUGGUCGGCUUGAGUGCAGGAGAGGGGAGUGGAAUUCCCGGUGUAGCGGUGGAAUGCGUAGAGAUCGGGAGGAACACCAGUGGCGAAGGCGGCUCUCUGGCCUGUAACUGACGCUGAGGCGCGAAAGCGUGGGGAGCAAAC
This 426-nucleotide ribosomal RNA is filed under the name uncultured bacterium. RNAcentral's name for it is "bacterial SSU rRNA". It matches the Rfam family "Bacterial small subunit ribosomal RNA", at positions 356 to 773 of the family's 1533-position model. The record is from RNAcentral.